RNAcentral lists this ribosomal RNA (1401 nucleotides) under metagenome. Its description in RNAcentral is "bacterial SSU rRNA". It matches the Rfam family "Bacterial small subunit ribosomal RNA". The record is from RNAcentral.
AACACAUGCAAGUCGAACGAACCUUCGGGUGAGUGGCGGACGGGUGAGUAACGCGUGGGAAUCUGCCCUCAGGAGGGGGAUAACGACUGGAAACGGUCGCUAAUACCCCAUAUGCCGAGAGGUGAAAUGAAUUUCGCCUGAGGAUGAGCCCGCGUCUGAUUAGCUAGUUGGUGGGGUAAGAGCCUACCAAGGCGACGAUCAGUAGCUGGUCUGAGAGGAUGAUCAGCCACACUGGGACUGAGACACGGCCCAGACUCCUACGGGAGGCAGCAGUGGGGAAUUUUCCGCAAUGGGCGAAAGCCUGACGGAGCAACGCCGCGUGAGGGAUGAAGGCCUCUGGGCUGUAAACCUCUUUUCUCAAGGAAGAAGAUCUGACGGUACUUGAGGAAUAAGCCACGGCUAAUUCCGUGCCAGCAGCCGCGGUAAUACGGGAGUGGCAAGCGUUAUCCGGAAUCAUUGGGCGUAAAGCGUCCGCAGGUGGCUUUGUAAGUCUGCCGUUAAAGCGUGGAGCUUAACUCCAUUUCAGCGGUGGAAACUACAAAGCUUGAGUGUGGUAGGGGCAGAGGGAAUUCCCGGUGUAGCGGUGAAAUGCGUAGAUAUCGGGAAGAACACCAGUGGCGAAGGCGCUCUGCUGGGCCAUAACUGACACUCAUGGACGAAAGCCAGGGGAGCGAAAGGGAUUAGAUACCCCUGUAGUCCUGGCCGUAAACGAUGAACACUAGGCGUCGGGGGAAUCGACCCCCUCGGUGUCGUAGCCAACGCGUUAAGUGUUCCGCCUGGGGAGUACGCACGCAAGUGUGAAACUCAAAGGAAUUGACGGGGGCCCGCACAAGCGGUGGAGUAUGUGGUUUAAUUCGAUGCAACGCGAAGAACCUUACCAGGGUUUGACAUCCUGCGAACCCCUGAGAAAUCGGGGGGUGCCUUCGGGAACGCAGUGACAGGUGGUGCAUGGCUGUCGUCAGCUCGUGUCGUGAGAUGUUGGGUUAAGUCCCGCAACGAGCGCAACCCACGUCUUUAGUUGCCAGCAUUCAGUUGGGCACUCUAGAGAGACCGCCGGUGAUAAACCGGAGGAAGGUGUGGAUGACGUCAAGUCAUCAUGCCCCUUACAUCCUGGGCUACACACGUACUACAAUGCUACGGACAAAGGGCAGCGAACUCGCGAGGGCAAGCAAAUCCCAUAAACCGUGGCUCAGUUCAGAUCGUAGGCUGCAACUCGCCUACGUGAAGGAGGAAUCGCUAGUAAUCGCAGGUCAGCAUACUGCGGUGAAUACGUUCCCGGGCCUUGUACACACCGCCCGUCACACCAUGGAAGUUAGCCACGCCCGAAGUCGUUACUCCAACCCUUGUGGAGGAGGAUGCCGAAGGUGGGGCUGAUGACUGGGGUGAAGUCGGAACAAGGUA